This 1378-nucleotide long non-coding RNA is filed under the name Fukomys damarensis (Damara mole-rat). RNAcentral describes it as "lncRNA (ENSFDAG00000021560.1)". Lineage: Eukaryota; Metazoa; Chordata; Mammalia; Rodentia; Bathyergidae. The record is from RNAcentral.
AUGAAACUUGAAGAAGUGGUUGUGACUUUGCAGCUUCUAGGUGACAAAGAGCCGACAGAGACAAUAGGAGACUUGUCAGUCUGUCUUGAUGGGCUACAAUUAGAGGCUGAAGUUGUUACUAAUGGGGAAACCACAUGUUCAGAAAGUGAGUGGUUACUUUUAAGCUCUUUCUUGAUUCUUUUGAUACCAAAUAGCUUCUGUAAUAGCAUGCUCUGUCUGAUUGUUGCUAUUCUUUUUUAGAAGAGAGAAAUAAUUUUAUUUUCUUUUUGAAGAACAAACAUAGAUCACAUUAAACAUUUUCUUAUUAUGUUGUUCUGUUCAUUAAAAAUUAUAUUUUUCUAGAAAUUGAAAAGCUAGUUAAGUAAAAGUUGAGUCAUAGUUGGCCUUAUGAAAAUUGAAUUGAUUUUUAAAGUACUUAUUCUGUAUGACAAUAAUGGCAGUUAAUAUGGUAUCUUUGGUGCCAUACCCCCUCCAUUGCCCGUGGUAUACAUAGUUUAUUGUCCAUAUCAGUAUUGGGUAAGUCUAGAUAUGACUCCGUAUUUUUCUUUGUACUGUACUAGAUAGCCAGUGCAGGCUGAAAGCCAUAUGCCAUGCUUCUUGCAUCUUUUGUGUCAUUGUAAUGACAGAGCCAUUCACUCAUUUUAUUUAUAUAUAAUUGUAUAAUUUUAUAGAGGGAAACUUUGCUGUCAUAGGUUACAAAAAUAUUUUAACUCCUGCUUACGCAUUUUCCAAACUAAAUUACCUUCUGAAUAGGCCAGUAAAACUCCUUUUUCAGGGCCGGGGAUUUAGUUCAGCGGUGCCUCCGCCUGCCUCACAAGCGCAAGUUACCUGAGUUUGAUCCCCAGUACCAAAAAAAACCAAACCUUUUAUUUUACAUUAUUUUGUUUUUAUUUUACUUUAUGAGUGCUCCUUUAAAAUUUGAAGUAUUGGGCCGGGGAUUUAGCUCAGUGGUUUUGCUGCUUGCCUUGCAAGCUCAAAGGCCCAAGUUUGAUCCCUGGCACAAAAAUAAAUUAAUAAUAAAGUUUGAAGUAUUGAAACUCUUAUAUGGCCAUUGUUGGUUUAGUCUUCAUUAAUUUUUAUAAUUCACAAAGCACUUUGACUUGUAUUUUAGUUUAAUGUGUGUUUAAAAUAUAAACCCAGGGCCGGGGAUUUAGCUCAGUGGUUCCGCCGCCUGCUUCACAAGUGCAAGGACCUAAGUUCGAUCCCCAGUACCAAAAAAAAAGAAAGAAAGAAAAGAAACCCCUAUAAAAUAUAAACCCAGGGAUUUAGCUCAGUGGUUCUGCCGCCUGUCUCGCAAGCGCAAGGAUCUGAGUUUGAUCCCUGGUAACCCCCCCGCCCAAUAUACGAGCAUAAUAAAAUUAGCUCUCAUGAAACUAUU